Molecule: long non-coding RNA, 440 nt
Filed under: Malus domestica (apple)
Lineage: Eukaryota; Viridiplantae; Streptophyta; Magnoliopsida; Rosales; Rosaceae
Description: long non-coding RNA (MDOM_LNC003932)
Source: RNAcentral
ACGCGUUGAUGAUCACGGGAAGGGAACAACAAUGGUAAAGCAGGCCUUUUCCGUUUCCUUUUCAAGCCCUCCCUCCCUUCUUCGUGUCGCACACCUCGCCUUCUCUCUGUCGCACUCCUUACCAGAACUCGAAUUAAUGGUGAGGUGCAUGUCGUUGUGUGACCCAUCUUCAGCUCUGUCUCUUUCACUCUUGAGGUACCUGCUGUUGGAUUCCAUUUGUUGUUGCCGAUCUACAGGUAAAGCUUCAAUUUCCAUAUUGGGGUUCCAAUUUUCUUCAUUUCUGGAAUUUGGGUUUUUAUUUCAGUAAUUUAAUUGUGACUGUCAGUUUGUCCUUGCGACUGUGAGAGAGAGAGAGAGAGAGAGAGAGAGAGAGAGAGAGAGAGCAAGGGAACCAGCAAUGGAGCGAGAGAAAGAGAGAGUGAGCUUGGAGGGAGGGAGAG